This 557-nucleotide unclassified non-coding RNA is filed under the name Hevea brasiliensis (rubber tree). Lineage: Eukaryota; Viridiplantae; Streptophyta; Magnoliopsida; Malpighiales; Euphorbiaceae. The record is from RNAcentral.
AUUUUUACAUUUAUUUUUAUUUGAAUACGUGUAUAUGGUGCCUUGUGUAUGCUUAUGUGUACUUAACACAUAUUGCCCCCAGUGACUAAAUUUUUUAGAUUCACCUUGUCGAUCUUCACUAAAAAUAAUUGAUAAUACACAAACAACAUUCACUGAAUUGAAAUUAUGGAAUCUAGGAGACCUUGUCUCACUACAAAACCCAAAUGAAAUUAUUUAAUGGGACAGCAACAUACAGAGUUACUUUUACAAUUUAUUAUGCAUGCAUUAAUAGAGCUUAGUUCAUGAAUUGUGCAGCUAAGAUUCUCUACAAAUAGAAAGCACCACUCUUAAAUCUUGCAUGCCACAAUUUUCAAAAAUAAAACAACUCCACCUGAACAAAUUAGUCCAAUAUGUUCAACAACCAAACAGAAAAGGGCAAAACAAUUUGCAGAGAAAAAAUAUGUGCUCAAACAAAAUUAAUUCUGUGCUAAAUGUUGACUUGCACAAGGAAAUUUCACUACAUUUAUCUUUCAACAUUGUACAAUUCUUUUAGCUAAAAAACAAAAUAACAAACACAA